Molecule: non-coding RNA, 195 nt
Organism: Dendroctonus ponderosae (mountain pine beetle)
Lineage: Eukaryota; Metazoa; Arthropoda; Insecta; Coleoptera; Curculionidae
Source: Rfam
GGGUGCUCUGGAUCUUUUUGUCCCGAGCAUGAUGUCCUGUUUUAUACGUUUAGUAUUUGCUGUAACCGGUAUGCGGAAGACAAAAAGAGAAAAGCCCCGAAUUGAAAUUAAUCAAAACGAGGCCUAUCUGCAUGCGUGAGAAACAUCAGGUUAGCCUCUUACCCGCCGAAAGGCAAGGAGUCGGAGUCUAUGAUG